GUAAUGGAAGAAGCUGAAACUUUUGUAGCAGGAUCUCAAGAGACGGAAAAGCUUAUCAAUGGAAUUCUUGAAAAAUUGAGCGACUGACUCACCAGGAUAUGUGUUGACAACCUCCUACUCAAGAAUGGACUGAUAAAGUUUCGCAUGAAAAUGAAUGAUGGUGUCGCCACAUCUUUACGGGAAUGGGAUAAGCUCAUAGGAUGAUUUGCCUCACUGUUUAACUCAGAGGAUGAGUCGAAGAUGUUAAAGGAUGUUGUGAGCACAUUUGCCUUUGGAAGUGACCUCACCUUAUGCUUACAUCC
Papaver somniferum (opium poppy) is the source of this 302-nucleotide long non-coding RNA. RefSeq lists it as uncharacterized. The transcript is spliced from 3 exons. Lineage: Eukaryota; Viridiplantae; Streptophyta; Magnoliopsida; Ranunculales; Papaveraceae. The record is from RefSeq and is a predicted model, not a curated record.